GACAUGACCCUUGAUAGGAAAGUCUGGAGGUCUAGAAUCAGGAUUGUAGGAUAGGGGCUUCUAGAGUUUUUCGUACGCCUCAUCUGGGGUUGGGUGUGGGUCAGCAGGGUUACCCAUAGAUGAUUUGUGUUUUAGCUUAUGUCUCCCUUAUGGCUGUUAGUUAUGGUAGUUACUGUAUGAUAUUAUUGCAUGCGAUUUUAUUUAUNN
Molecule: long non-coding RNA, 207 nt
Filed under: Nicotiana benthamiana
Lineage: Eukaryota; Viridiplantae; Streptophyta; Magnoliopsida; Solanales; Solanaceae
Description: long non-coding RNA (NBEN_LNC030869)
Source: RNAcentral